RNAcentral lists this long non-coding RNA (303 nucleotides) under Gossypium barbadense (sea-island cotton). RNAcentral describes it as "long non-coding RNA (GBAR_LNC017325)". Lineage: Eukaryota; Viridiplantae; Streptophyta; Magnoliopsida; Malvales; Malvaceae. The record is from RNAcentral.
UCUUAUCUCCUUGAAGUUGUAGUGGAGCAGAUUAAAUCCAGUAAUCCUAUCUCCCUGAAGUUGCAGUGGAGCGGAUUAAAAUCACAGAUCUUAUCUCUCUGAAAUUGCAGAAAGUAGAUCGCAUCUAAGUCUUAUCUCCCUAAAGUUGCAGUAGAGCAGACUAAGUAAGCAAGUCUCAUCCUCCUGAAGUUGCAGUGAGGCAGACUGAAGAUGGCAAAUCUUAUCUCCCUAAAGUUGCAGUGGAGCAGAUUAAAGCCAAUAAUCCUAUCUCUCUAAAGUUACAGUGGAGUGAAUUAAAACCAC